GGCCAGACUCCUACGGGAGGCAGCAGUGGGGAAUAUUGGGCAAUGGAGGCAACUCUGACCCAGCAACGCCGCGUGAAUGAUGAAGGUCUUCGGAUUGUAAAGUUCUUUUCUAAGGGAAGAAGAAAGUGACGGUACCUUAGGAAUAAGCCUCGGCUAACUACGUGCCAGCAGCCGCGGUAAUACGUAGGAGGCAAGCGUUAUCCGGAUUUAUUGGGUUUAAAGGGUGCGCAGGCGGAUUUUUAAGUCAGCGGUCAAAUCGUGGGGCUCAACCCCAUCCAGCCGUUGAAACUGGGGAUCUAGAGUGUGCGAGAGGUAUGCGGGAUGCGUGGUGUAGCGGUGAAAUGCAUAGAUAUCACGCAGAACCCCGAUUGCGAAGGCAGCAUACCGGUGCACAACUGACGCUCAGGCACGAAAGCGUGGGUAUCGAACAGGAUUAGAUACCCGGGUA
Molecule: ribosomal RNA, 448 nt
Filed under: uncultured bacterium
Lineage: Bacteria
Description: bacterial SSU rRNA
Rfam family: Bacterial small subunit ribosomal RNA
Source: RNAcentral